Jatropha curcas is the source of this 1388-nucleotide long non-coding RNA. RefSeq lists it as uncharacterized. Lineage: Eukaryota; Viridiplantae; Streptophyta; Magnoliopsida; Malpighiales; Euphorbiaceae. The record is from RefSeq and is a predicted model, not a curated record.
ACUUUACUCUAUAAUAUAGAAGAGAGAGAGAGAGAGAAAGAGAGAGAGAGAAAAGAGAGUUUCAAAUUACGAUUAUAUGUAAGUUCUUGUUGAUGAGGUAAUUUGCUACUACUGCAACUAAAGGAGACAUCCAAAGGGAUCGCAUUGAUCCUGAACCUAAAUUUCUUCUCCAUCGUUUUUUCUGGGAUCAUGCUAUCCCUUUGGAUUCCUCCUUUGGUAGCUUCUGACAAUGGCGUUUUAAUGCUGGUGCACCACUUCCUUAUCAUGCACCACCAACAGCAAAUAUAUAUGUACAAUUCACGGCGAAAACUCGCCGGAGAAAACCAGCAAGGAUUGAAAUUUAUGGAGAGAAGAUGAUGCAAACAGUGAUAGAUCAUUAUAGGAUGCAACUUGGCCUUCUCUAGAAAAUGGAAAGAGCAGCUUCGAGAAAAGUUCAAAAGGUUGUCAAGAAUGGGAUAAUUUCUAAUCCUAUAUAAGAGAGCUAAAGGUGAAAGCACCUAAGAAUUUAUUCAUAUUUCCUUAUUUCAGAAAGAUGUAAAAGGAAUAAAUUAUAUGUCUUUUAAAGAAGUAUAUAUAGGAAUUUCAGAUGAUCUUUUUUUUUUAAUAUAUAUAUAUAUAAUACUAGUGUUAUUUUCAAGAAUCUAUAAUAUAGGUGUGGAACUAAUAUUUUAUAUCUGGUGGAGGUUCUUGGCCACUUAUUUCAUACAUCUAUAUACCCACUUUCUCCUACCUACACACACUUUGCGCAAAGAAUUGAAACUGCAUCUUACUUGAUAUUUUCUUUAAAAUUACAAUGCAAAUCAAGAAAAUUUAAUUUACAGAAUUUAGAAUGAAAGGAAAAUUUUAUUUUUUAUUUUUUGUUUCUUUUUUGGUUAAUUAUUUAGAUAUAUGCAUGCAUUUAAUUUAGUUUAUGAAUCAAGAAACAUUAAUUAUCAAUUAACAAGAAAAUUUCCAAGUGGAAGCUGGCCAUUUGAUAGAACAGUGACCCCUCCAUAUAGUGAAUACAAUAAUUUCUAAAUGCUUUUGACAAGAAAUUCAAAUACCCCAUUUCUGGAAACCUUGAUCAUUGCAUACUUCCAACAAGUUGAUUUCAACUUUUCAAAAAGUAACUUUUUUUAUGCUUAUAGGAAUGAGUUAAAUAAAAUUAAUUGUUAAUUGUUUUUUUUUUUUUUUUAAAGUUUUCUGGCUCAGCCUAUAGCAUGUGUUUGAAGUUACUUUCUGCUUGCCUAAGCCAUCCCUAAAAGCUGGGUUUUAAAGGUCCUAAAACAGAGUAGCAUGGCCAUGUUUCUUGUGUGGCAAUGGGUCAAGAGUCCAAUAAAUCACAUGGUUUGAGGACUUUAAUUAGAAUCCAAGGCAGUGAAAGAUGAUUUUAAAGGACUUUUUUUUUU